RNAcentral lists this ribosomal RNA (406 nucleotides) under uncultured bacterium. Its description in RNAcentral is "bacterial SSU rRNA". It matches the Rfam family "Bacterial small subunit ribosomal RNA", at positions 355 to 775 of the family's 1533-position model. The record is from RNAcentral.
UGGGGAAUAUUGGGCAAUGGGCGAAAGCCUGACCCAGCAACGCCGCGUGAGGGAAGAAGGCCUUCGGGUUGUAAACCUCUGUCCUUGGUGACGAAAAAAAUGACGGUAGCCAAGGAGGAAGCCCCGGCUAACUACGUGCCAGCAGCCGCGGUAAUACGUAGGGGGCGAGCGUCGUCCGGAAUUACUGGGCGUAAAGGGUGCGUAGGUGGCCUUUUAAGUUGGAUGUGAAAUCCCCGGGCUUAACUUGGGUGGUGCAUCUAAUACUGGAGGGCUAGAGUGCAGGAGAGGGAAGCGGAAUUCCUAGUGUAGCGGUGAAAUGCGUAGAUAUUAGGAGGAACACCAGUGGCGAAGGCGGCUUUCUGGACUGUAACUGACACUGAGGCACGAAAGCGUGGGGAGCAAACAG